GCCGGGGUGCCCGAGCGGUCAAGGGGGUAGGCUCGAGACCUACUGCCCCUAUGGGGCACGCGGGUUCAAAUCCCGCCCCCGGCG
RNAcentral lists this transfer RNA (84 nucleotides) under Sulfolobus sp. S-194. RNAcentral describes it as "tRNA-Ser". It matches the Rfam family "tRNA". Rfam says of the family: Transfer RNA (tRNA) molecules are approximately 80 nucleotides in length. Their secondary structure includes four short double-helical elements and three loops (D, anti-codon, and T loops). Further hydrogen bonds mediate the characteristic L-shaped molecular structure. tRNAs have two regions of fundamental functional importance: the anti-codon, which is responsible for specific mRNA codon recognition, and the 3' end, to which the tRNAs corresponding amino acid is attached (by aminoacyl-tRNA synthetases). tRNAs cope with the degeneracy of the genetic code in two manners: having more than one tRNA (with a specific anti-codon) for a particular amino acid; and 'wobble' base-pairing, i.e. permitting non-standard base-pairing at the 3rd anti-codon position. The record is from RNAcentral. Lineage: Archaea; Thermoproteati; Thermoproteota; Thermoprotei; Sulfolobales; Sulfolobaceae.